UUCCUGACAACGCUCUCGAGGUCCUCAUCCUCUUAACCUUGUGACGUGCGAGAGGAAGGUGCCCUGCUAGAGACAGAGAGGAGCAGGGGCUCGGCCACUCUCUUCAGAUGACUGGACCGAUAUUUAUUCAGGGCCGCCUUGUGCAGGAAUGCAAGCCCACAGGGCAGCCCACGCGCGUCCCCUCUGUGUCACCUCCAGACGCCACAGGAAGCCUGCGACUUAGUGCCCGCCUGCUGUCUGUCGGAUAAGUGAGUGCCGUGAGGGUGCGGGAGGCCCUGGAGCACCCCUGCCCGGCUCUUCCACUCCUUUCAGCUGCGAACGCUGGACGGGCCUCGCUUUUACCCUGCAGGCCACAGCUCACUCGUGCAGCUCUUCCUCCUGUCCCCGCACAUGGCCCAGCCGCAGGUGGGAUUUGCUCUGCCCCACUUUGGAGUCAGCCUCGGAGGUUAACCCCGCUCUGGGGCGCAGAGGGGUCUCCAUCCUCCCCCCAGUGGGCUGUCUUUGGUGUCUCUCCCCGGAGCUUGCUUUCCAUCUCUUUGCUGUACUGGAGACUUUCCUGACGGUCUUGUUGGGAAAGCAUUAUUAGUAUUUGUGGACAAAAAUGGUUGCUUUUGAGAAAGUAUGCUUUCAAGUGACUCCCCAGUACAUGGCUGAGCCCGUGAUUGUACAGUAAACUGUAUCUUGAAAUGAUGUGCUGCGUAAGGGUUGAGUACAGACUUUUGUUAGUGGGGAGAAGAUGCAGCAGAGUUGGUAAUAAACAGCUUAGAAACCUGGAACGCGUCUUCCUACAGCAAGUGCUAAAGUGAACCAUGAGAAUGAAGAAGUCCACACUCUGCCCUUGGCUGUCUCCGGGAUGGCGAUGCCUACGAGAGGGACAUGAAUCCGGCUCGGUGCUUCCUCCACUCUUCCCCGGACAGCAGUGCUGGCUAAAGGAGCCAUCCUGGGGCACAGACACCUCCCAGGAAAGCCUCGACACCAGUGAUCAGGCUAUCUGACAUCAGAAAUCCACAGGCACCCACACAGAAAACAAACAAAACCCAGAAAAUGACAAGAUGAGAAAGCAAAACAGAAUCAGCAUGUCCAGCCCACCCAGGACAAGUCCAGGACACAAAGAGACAGAGGAAGUCGGAAGCCAGCAAGCGGAACUCUCUGAAAUGACAGCAGCGGAAGUGAAAAAAAAAAAAAAUCUCAGAGGUGCCAAAAGAAAUGACUAACAAAAUAAAAGACCUCGAAGUAGACGCAAAUAAAGGAAUAGAGGAGCUCAGGAAAAUGAUGGGAACCACAAAUGCCAAGUCUAGAUAAGAAAUGGAAUCAAUUAAAAAACAGAUCCACACAGAAGUGCAAGAAACUAGAAGCUACAUUGGAAAUACGUGCAGCAGAUUGAAGGCAGGUGAGGAUAGCGUAUCAGAUCCAGAAAACAGGACUAUGACCAGUGACUGGGAAAGAAAGAUAUCAGAAAAAUCACAAGAGACUGUGAAAAAUCAGUCCAGCAGCUACAGGAGGAAGCAAGCAAGAGCAGGGUAAGACUGACUGGCGUUAGCAAGAAAACUGGAGACAGAGCAAAAGCCGUCAGAAACCUCUUCACAGAAAUAAUGGCAGGAAAUUUCCCAAACAGGGACAAAGAAUUUGAUAUACAAAUAAAUGAAGCACAUAGAACUCCAAAUAGCCAUCACCAAAAUAAGUCUAUACCAAAGCAUAUAGUAAUGGAGACUCCAGAAAUUCAGCACAAGGGCAAAAUACUGAACAAAAGAAACAUAUCAUCUAUAUAGGAAAGCCCAUCAGAAUCACAGCAGACUUCUUAACACAAACCCUAAAAUCAAGAGGAGCUUAAAGUACUUCAAGCUCUAAAGGAAAAUAAUCUUAAACCCAGAUUGAUGUACCCCACAAAACUAUCUUUCAAAAUUGAUAGAGAAAUAAGAUAUUUCCAUAAAGAAGAGCAACUGAAGAAGUUUAUUAUCACUACACCAGCUCUGUAGAAUGCUCUGAAGGACAUAUUGGAAAGAGAGAAUAAAGGCCACAAGCAUAGAAACAUUAACAGAAAGAAGCCUCCAGGCAGGGUAGCAGUUAAAGGGAGCAGAAAGACAGGAACAAACAGCAGGGGCCACGUGGAAAGGAAAAAUGAAUAUAUCAGUUGUAACCAUCAAUGUAAACGGUCUCAAUUCACCAAUCAAAAGAAACAGACUGGAUGAAGAAGCAAGAUCCAACAAUAUGCUGCAUUCAAGAAACACAUUUAACUAAAAAAUAAAAUCAUAGACAAAAAGGCAAAGGAUGGAAAACAAUUCUCCAGGGCACAGGAACCCAGAAGAAAAAAAAAGAAAGCAGGAGUAGCUAUUCUAUUUGCAGACAACGCAAACUCUGAGCCAAAACUAAUCAAAAGAGAUAAAGGUCACUACAUACUCAUUAAGAGAAAACUCCAAGAAGAAAAGAGAUAAAAAUCAUAAAUAUUUAUGUAGCAAGUACAGAUUCACCCAACUACAUAAAAUAAAUAUUAAUUGACAUGAAAAAGCAAAUAAGCACUAACAUGAUUGUAAUGGGGGACCUUACUACCUCACUCUCACUAAUGAAUAGGUCAACUAGACAAAACAUCAACAAAGAAAUAUAAUUAAGGUGAACCUGUGAACAAAUGGGUUUUGUCGGUGACUACAGCAUGUCCCUCUCCCAAAGGUCAGAUAUACACAGUCUCAGUUUCGCAAGGAGCACUCUCCAAAAUAGAUCAUAUAUUAGCUGAUGAAAGAUAUUUAAGAAAUGUAGAGGAAUUAAAAUCACCCCAUGUGUACCUCUGACCAUAGCACUGUGAAACUGAAAAUCACAACAAAGGAAACCACAAAACCUGCACAAACACAUGGAAAUUAAACACCUCCUAUCUGAACAACAAAUGGGUCACAGAGGAAAUUAAGGAUACAAUUAAACAGUAUGGACAGUUAAACAGUAUUGCCUAUACAACGUACCAAAACUUAUGGGAUGCAAUGAAAUCAAUCCUAUGAGGGAAAUUUGUAAUGAUGAACUCAACCAUCAGAAAAACAGAACAAGCUCAAAUAAACAAACUAAUAUCAAACUUCAAACUAAAAAGAAGAACAAAUCAAACCCAGAGCUCGUAUGAGUGAGGAAAUUACAGGAAUAAGAGUAGAAGUUAAUGCAAUAGAGACUAAGAAAAAAUACAAAGAAUCAAUGAAUUGAAAAGUGGGUUCUUUGAAACAAUAAAUAAAAUUGAUAAUUCACUAGCCAACCUUAUCAAAAAGAGGCACUUAGGAAUGCAAAAAUCCCUAAUAAGAUCCUGGCAAACAGAAUGUAGCAAAUCAUCAUGAAGAUUAUACACCAUGACCAAGUAGGACUCAUCCCAGGGAUGCAGGGAUGGCUCAACAUACAUAAAUCAAUAAAUGUGAUACAGAACAUUAACAGAUCCAGAGACAAAAAUCACAUGAUCAUCUCAGUAGAUGCAGAAAGAGCAUUUGACAAAGUCCAACAUCCAUUCAGGAUAAACAUCCUAUAGAAAAUUGGAAUAUAUGGUCUUUACCUCAAUGUUAUGAUAGCCAUCUGUGACAAAUCCACAGCUAAUGCCAUAUUACAUGAUCAAAAGCUGAAAACUUUCACUCUAAAGUCAGAAAUGAGACAAUGAUGUCCAUUAUCACCACUCCUAUUCCAUAUAGCUCUGAAAACAUUAGCCAGGGCAAUUGGACAAGAGGAAAAAAAUUAAACAGAAGAAAGAUAGGAAAGGAAGAAUUAUCAUUAUUUGCAGAUGACAUGACACUAUAUAAAAGACCCCCAAAGCUCCACCAAAAAACUAUAGAUUUAAUGUCUGAAUUGAGUCAUACAGGGAGAUACAAAGUCAAUACCCAAAAGUCAAUAGUAUUCCUGUACACAAGCAACAAAUUCACAGAGGGAAAGUACACUUUCUGUGAUCACACACACACACACACAAAUGAAAUACUUAGGAAUCAAUCUAACAAAGGAUGUAAAAGAUCUGUAUCGUGAAAAUCAUAAUAUCCUAAAAAGGAGGUUGAAGGAGAUAUCAUAAAAUGGAGAGAUAUUCCUUGCUCUUGGAUAGGAAGAACCAACAUAGUGAAAACAGCUACAUUUCCAAACCCGUUAUACAGAUUUAGUGCAAUCCCAAUCAAAAUCCCAUUAGCAUACCUCACAGAUCUAGAGAAAACACUGAAAAACACUUGAAACCAGAAGAGACCUAGAAUAGCAAAAGCAAUUCUGGGCUAAAAGGCAAGUCAGGGGGUAUCACAAUGUUGGGAGCCGCGGCCGAGCCCGGUCGCCUUACUUGGCGGACGUGAGGCCUGUAGGAAAGAGAAAAGCCUGAGCUAGAUUACCCCUCCCAUCGAGUAUGCUAAGAUGGUGCUUACUUCCUGCUUGGUAAACAACCCGCCCUGUAAGAUCUCCUGCUUCCUGCUUGGUAAACAACCCGCCCUGUAAGAUCUCCUGCUUCCUGCUUGGUAAACAACCCGCCCUGUAAGAUCUCCUGCUUCACAACCCGCCCUGUAAGAUAGUCUGCCUAGCAACAACUGAUGUUAGCCAAUCAGCCCGCAUCGCGCGCUUUGAACUGAUUGGCCACUGUUACCCUAUAAAAGUGAGUGCCUCUCCCGCCACGAAAAAAAAGAAGCAGAAGAAGCACGCAAGGAGCCGCGGAGAGCGGACCGGUAGAGGCUUCGGGACAGACUGUAGGGAGAAGUACGCAAGGAGCCGCGGGGAGCGGACCAACAAAGGCUUCGGCCGGGAGGAUUCCCAGGGCAGGCUGUACGGAGAAGGAAAAUAAAAGAAAAGGUUGUCCACUGCCAGACUUUGUUGUGUGUCCUUCCUGCCGGCCGGGAGUGACACCGACAUCUGGUGGCCCGUACGGGGAGCUGAUCACCCCCGAGACGUGGCAGUGGACAACGCUCCAACGCAGAGCUGCAAGACAGGAACCGGGACGAGAACCACUGUGGGUACCGGAGAGACUGACACGGGCAACAAAGCCCUCGACUGAAGAUCAGACCUGCCCUACCGGAGAUCCAUCACAGACCAACCAACAAGAUGAAUAGAAAUAGCGGUAGCCCAAAAUGGACAAAAAGAUCCUCAGGCAUAUGCAUGGCUCGCUCGCCUAGCCUACGACCGAGUCUAGGGGCGGUGAGCUUCCCACACUCCUCCUCUAAAAAAUUAUGACAUAGCUGGGUAGGAGAGUCAAUGACGGGUAAGAGCGUACUCCCCCGGUGCGACUCAACCUAAGCCAGGCCCUACCCCAUCCUGCACGUAAGCCGCUGGACUGUUAGAUGCUGCCCAGGUCUAAAUUUCUCUCCGAGGGGAUUUCUUUACGGAGAGGAAAUGAGUGCAAGCUUGUGUGCAUCCAGGUUCCGUCCAGUUUGUGCCUGGCCCUAGAAAAAGGACGAGGGCCUCAGGGCCUUGGCAGACCAUGGGACGGCCGACCAGGGUCUAAGCCAAGGACCUACGGUGGGCCUACGCAUAGGGCAUAAGCCUCUGCACCCAGUCCAGGAAGGGCUACGAUGCGCACAUUCAUAAAAAAUAAAAAAGGGGGAGAUGUUGGGAGCCGCGGCCGAGCCCGGUCGCCUUACUUGGCGGACAUGAGGCCUGUAGGAAAGAGCAAAGCCUGAGCUAGAUUACCCCUCCCAUCGAGUAUGCUAAGAUGGCGCUUACUUCCUGCUUGGUAAACAACCCGCCCUGUAAGAUCUCCUGCUUCCUGCUUGGUAAACAACCCGCCCUGUAAGAUCUCCUGCUUCCUGCUUGGUAAACAACCCGCCCUGUAAGAUCUCCUGCUUCACAACCCGCCCUGUAAGAUAGUCUGCCUAGCAACAACUGAUGUUAGCCAAUCAGCCCGCAUCGCGCGCUUUGAACUGAUUGGCCACUGUAACCCUAUAAAAGUGAGUGCCUCUCCCGCCACGAAAAAAAAGAAGCAGAAGAAGCACGCAAGGAGCCGCGGAGAGCGGACCGGUAGAGGCUUCGGGACAGACUGUAGGGAGAAGUACGCAAGGAGCCGCGGGGAGCGGACCAACAGAGGCUUCGGCCGGGAGGAUUCCCAGGGCAGGCUGUACGGAGAAGGAAAAUAAAAGAAAAGGUUGUCCACUGCCA
Cavia porcellus (domestic guinea pig) is the source of this 6066-nucleotide long non-coding RNA. RefSeq lists it as uncharacterized. The record is from RefSeq and is a predicted model, not a curated record. NCBI's taxonomy places the organism in Eukaryota, Metazoa, Chordata, Mammalia, Rodentia, Caviidae. The transcript is spliced from 2 exons.